GAUGAAGAACGUAGCGAAAUGCGAUACUUGGUGUGAAUUGCAGAAUCCCGUGAACCAUCGAGUCUUUGAACGCAAGUUGCGCCUCAAGCCAUUAGGUUGAGGGCACGUCUGCCUGGGCGUCACAUUUCGUUGCCUGAUGCCAGUUUCCUCGUGAUGGGUGACUGUGCAGGGCGAAUGAUGGCUUCCCGUGAGCAUUGUUGCCUCAUGGUUGGUUGAAAAUUGAGUCCUUGGUAGGGAGCGCCGUGAUAGAUGGUGGUUGAGUGACGAACGAGACCCAAUCAUGUGAGACCCCUACCGAAUUUGGCCUUCAUGACCCACAUGCGUCUUUGGAACGCUCAUGACGAGACCUCAGGUCAGGCGGGGCUACCCGCUGAGUUUAAGCAUAUCAAUAAGCGGAGGA
This 400-nucleotide unclassified non-coding RNA is filed under the name soil metagenome. RNAcentral describes it as "partial contains 5.8S ribosomal RNA, internal transcribed spacer 2, and large subunit ribosomal RNA". The stretch from base 1 to 122 matches the Rfam family "5.8S ribosomal RNA", at positions 35 to 154 of the family's 154-position model. The record is from RNAcentral.